Molecule: long non-coding RNA, 2022 nt
Organism: Canis lupus familiaris (dog)
Lineage: Eukaryota; Metazoa; Chordata; Mammalia; Carnivora; Canidae
Exons: 3
Source: RefSeq, a predicted model, not a curated record
GGGCCAGCUAGGGGCCUCCAGCCCCACCCCGCCCAGGUGUCUACCCUGGAGGGGGGCCUGCAGGGCAGGGUGCCAGGACCCCUGGCCCCUGGCCUCUCCCCCGGCUGGGCCUCCUCUGGGGCAGAGGCACAGGACCAAGGGCGAGAGCCAGCGGGGCCCCGGGAGCCUGGCGCCCCGACCAGCAGCCUAGAGACCACCAGGUCACAGGCACAGUCCCCGUGCACGAGGGAGGUGACCCUCCAGGACAGUGGGGCGGGGGAAAACGUCCGGGAGCCAGGCCCGGCCCCGGAACGGGCAUGUCCCCGUGGGCCAAGAACAACCUCAGCUGAGCCAGGGCCGGGCCGCCUGCGUCACCAAGAGGAGCCUGAGGAACUGGGAGAAAGGCACGAGUUUCCUAGGGACGCAACAAACAUGAACAUCUCGUGCAGACGGAACCUUGCUUCAUCUGGAAAUUUACCGAGAGCUGUUGGACGUUUGGAAGAGUCACGACCCUAGGAUGACACGGUGGCCUCGGCGGGCACGCGUCUGACACCCGGGAAUCGUCAUCGAGGCCCUACUCUCUGGGCUGGGAGUAAGGCCAGGCCUCCGCAUCUGAGGAGCAUCGGGCCCAGCGGGAAGAGAAGCAGCAAGCGGAGGUGGCCCGGCGGGCGCAGAAGGGGCAUGUCAUCCGGGAUGGCUUCCUGAAGAAGGCGGCAGCAGGGCUGACUCGGACACCUGUGAGCAUAAAGGCGCGAGGGAGGAGCAGGUGCAGGAGACGCACGGCAGGCCAAGCGGGACCAACACCCCAGCAUGCGGGACUGGGGUCAGUGGCUUUCAAGGGUGUGACCACACGUUCUGGUUUGCUCGGACAUCCGGGCCGACACCUGUUACUCCGGGGUAUCCUCACAGAACCCCUUUCAUGGUUCAAGUGCAUCCCAGUUUGGACCAUAAGUUAAAUGGUUGCGGUGAAGGGUUGGCCCUCACCCCCGGGGCUGGGCCAGGACCCUUGAGGAUGGGGGAGGGCGAUUAGGUUUGCACUCUGGGGCAGUCCUGGCGUGGGUGGCAGAGAAGCUGUCGUCAGCCCUGGGGUGGGGGGGGCGGCGGGGAGUGUCAGGUGCCUGGGGUGCGUGGUGCACAGAGGGGCGCAGGCCAAGCUGAGGGCAGUCUGAGCCCUGGGAGCGGAGACAGGAGGGAGUGGCUUAGGACCCUAUGCGGCAACAAACACACUCUUCACUCGCUCUUUCUGGAAGCACCAAAUGUGCAGGUCGGCCCCUUAAUCCUGGGCGGGGGGGGGGGGGUCCCCGUCAUAGACCCUCCCCACCACCAUGGCCACAAUGUCACCAGUGCCAAACAUGAAGUGGGGUUUUUUGUUGUUUUUAAGUUCAGUCUCAAAGAACAUUUUAAAGUUUGAUAACUAACUGAACAAAGGUGAAUUGUGGGAGCCGAAAAGGUGUGAUACGAGGGCCCCGAGACCGGGAGAUGCUGGCCUAAGAGUUGUGAGUGUGGGCAUGUGUGUGGGCGUGUGUGUACACAGGCGUGUGUGUAGGGGGCAGGCACCCCCUCCACCCUGGGAAACCGGAAAAAGAGAUGAUGCUUUCACCAAGCCGGCUGCCCUGAUCCGUAAGAAGAGCAACCAGGCGGGCCCACCUCCCCAUGACUGUGCUUCCCCCACUCUCCGCCCCCUGGUGACCUCUGGAGAGGGAACAGGAAUGGGGGGUCCAGAAAUCCCAGGUUGGAAAAUGAGGUGGGAGGGAGGGGGCGACCAGGCUCACCCCCAUCGCAGGUAUGUGCUCACGCCCAGCAGCGGUCUCGGGUGCUGUCCCAGCUCCAACCUGCCCCUCCCUGGGUUGAUCGUGGCCUUUGGGACCGGCCAGGGGUGUGCAUGAGGGCUGGGCCGCAGCAGUUUCAUCGAUAACUUGUAAACAUUUAGCCAUGUGAAGGGGCGCCUGGGUGGCUCAGACUGAGCAUUCGACUCUUGGUUUCGGCCCAGGGUGUGAUCUCAUGGGUCCCGGGAUCCAGCCCCACUGUGGCCUUCAUGUUCAG